GUUUAAUUUCCCAUUAAAUGAAUAAAUCCUUGACUUAAAUACCGUUGCAGAACCAAAAGUAAUUUGUGUAGAAUUCCUCGUAACUUGACGUGAUUAUCAAUCAAAAAUCUAAAAUUCCGAAGAGGUUGGUGUUGCUUCACUUUCUCGGCCACAAAACAACAUCACAAAAGUGAAACUUUUAUGUACUAUUUGGCGAUUACAAGACAAUUACGUGUACUUUCGGUUUCGGGUUCACGCUUACUGAUCGCAUUAGAAUUUUAGCUUGUUCAAUCUGUUUCCAGCAAGCUUGUUUGUACAUGAUUCUCAAAGACGAUAUGGCACUGAGGUAUUGUUCAACCAUUAGUGAUUAAUCACACUUGUUUCCUGGAGGGCCAACAAAGAAACUUAAUGGUCUCAAUAAACGCAACCUUGAAUCUUUGUAUAUUUUAACAAUAGUAUGACUAAAAGGAAUUAUGGUUGCUGUAAAAAUGUCGUUACGUCAAAGGUAAUAAAAUAACCUUUAUUUAAUUUAAAACUAGGACUAAUAAGUUGCCUACAUAGUGUAUUAUUUUGUUUUGUUCGAAUAUUAAUUAUUUAUACUAACCAAUUUUUACAAAUUAAUUAUACAAAACGAACAAAAAUACAUUUUUAAAUCAAAAGAAUAUGAAUCUCAGGGAAAACAAAAUAAAUCUAAACAUAAAAGUUAGCCUAAAUAAAUAAGUCUGUGCAAGAAAGAGGUAACUCGUUUAGAAGAGUGUUGUAGACAAAGCUUAUACGAGUUUGUUUUAAGAGAGUUUUUUAAGUUUGAUUUUUAAUCGCGAUGGUUAUAAAAAUUAAAGAGUUCAGAAUGGUUUAAACGAGGAACAGGUAUACGAUUAAGUACAAGAAAGUCUGACAUGUCCGUUAAAAAUGGUUGGCUGACCUUGAUCUUGAGGGAUGAGUAUUCUUCGGUAUUAGAAGUUUAGGAAUCUCGGGAAAUUUAGUUCUUGGGUCCUUCGGGAACAGGAUGGAAAAUUGGACUCGAACUCAGAUUCGACAACGCUUGGCUCUAGCUAAAUUUGAACUCUUCUCGGUGUCAAUUUGCGCGGCCUUAUAUACCCUUUUUGGACAAAGGCAUCUUGGAUAUCCAAAUUUGUUUAAAUCUGGGCUCUCUGAUUGGUCGAUUAAGUGGCGGGAAUUAUAAAUUACACAGAUAAACGCGCUUUCGGGUGUCAAUUUCCUUCGAGAAAGUCGUAAUUUGAUGUUGAAGUUUGGAAAUGAAAAAUUGGAAUUUAGAUAUAAAAAAUGAUACCGAAAUGGAUGAAAUUGCGGCCUAUGGGUUAAAUCGAUACAAUUUAUCGAUCUCGCAUGGUUUUAGAAUCUAAAAUCGUUUGAAAAGUAGCCAAAAUCAAUACCUGUCAAAAAUGUAAAUGACAAGGUCAAAUUUGAAGGUCAAUGAAUUACCUUUUUCUUGCACAUUGCCCUAAUUUUUCUUAAAUCUAAACGAAAAUCAUAACAAAACGUAACUACUUAGCCUAAUCCAUAAUACUAAAUUUCUUAAAUUUAAUUAGUCUUUUUUCUGUUUCUUCGGAAACACGGAUUUUAUUACAAUAGAUAGUAAAUAAUCCAUUUUUGUAAAUUUCACGCAAGAAAUUGAUUUUAUAGAUACCGUAAUCAGCUUUCUACGAACAUAAUCAUAAGAAAGAUUAUGAUAAUUAACUUUUGAAAAGCGUUUUAUGGUUCGAAAGGUGGAAUGUGUAUGGAUGGAAAAACAUGAAAGAAACGAAGAGGCAUUUAAAAAAACGGAAAGCGAAAAAUGCGAGAUCAAUUAACACGGUUCGAUAUGAACGCAAAAGAAAGCGUGAACACCUCUUUUAAACAUUUAGUAUUUUAAUCAAGUGUUUAUAAAAUGAUUGAUGAACGAAUUUGAAAUGACCGAUAUUUAUUGUUUAUGGUUGUAUCUCAGUUUCUAUUUAAAAAAAAUUAAAGUUAUUUGAAAUAGUAAAUGAGAAUGUGUUGUUAAAAAAAACUGGAUUUCGUGUGUUUAAAUUCCUGAAUAGUAAUGAAGCUCGACAGGCGGGCGUGUUGGUUGAAAUUGCACUAUCUGUGGCCUACUCAAAAACCAUUCUUUGAGAGUUUAAUUACGUGCAAGAUUUCACGAGAGGUGCGGCUUAACCUGGUCAAACCUGAUCGAACUGUCCAUCGAACGUGAGCUCACGUGCCAACGUUAUGACGGUUGAUUGUACUUUCAAUUCACAUGUGACCGAUUGAAAAUUGAUGAAUCAGAUACAAAAACACAUUUUGUGAUUCAUUUACUUUAACAUUUUUAUUACGUUUAUUAAGUUUAACGUAUAAGCCGCUUUCACCACAUAAACUAAAUUGUUAAAACCUAAACCUGGCAGUUGAAUACAAUCAUUAAUAAACACCUGUGUUGUCUCGGUUAAUAUAUUCAGCUAUGCGAGUGAUUCCUUGCAUAGUGUAUAUGCAAAUGAUCUUCACGGAUACACCGUGUCCCGAUUUCUCAUCAAAAUACCAUUAAAAGCUGGGUUUGUGGGUAGAUUCCGCGUGUGCCGCCAAGGUCCCCACAAAGAUUCUUAGCGUCGAUAGUUUCGCCAGCACCUUAUGAUUACCGUCAAUACAUGAAUAAAGUGCUGUCAAUUAAGUAUGAGUAAGUACGAGUACGAAACAAUCGUGCUGACAACAUCUAUAACAACUUAAACCGUUUAAAGCAAACGUGUAAUUGGUUGUGGAGAAAGGGCUCCUUUUAUUUCAAUCGAUGCAGCAUCAGUUUUAACCCGUUACGCCAACACAAACAUAUGAUUCGGUCCAUUCAUGUAGUGAGCGUUUUUUAACCAAAUAAUAACGAAAUUCCGGGCAAGUAGAGGUCAAGCCGUGAAAUCCAUUGGUAAAAUACGAUACAGCAAACUAAACAGUUUUACGUUAUCGUUAAUCCGUCAACUUUCUAAAUCCGCAAUCCUGGUCGCGCCAAAUAGCAUCAUCCGAUUGAUCGUUUUGUAGAAUCGUUCAGCUUUUUAUGGAAAACGGGACCAACGAAGAGGAAGAAAUCAGAUCAUUAGAUAAAAACACUUCAAGAGAAGAAAAUCUAACAAGUCCACUUUUUUGUUGGUAAUUAACUGUUUAAAGUUAACUAUCAUUUUCUUCAUUUCAAGUGAAGUUUCUGAGUGUAAUUUCUACUUUCUUUGAGAAUGAUUUCUAAUCUUAACUAACUUUUUUGUGAUUUUUUUCUACUUGGACUUCGGGGAUUCGAAAGAAACCUCACACAAGACCAGGCGAG
Onthophagus taurus is the source of this 3253-nucleotide non-coding RNA. Lineage: Eukaryota; Metazoa; Arthropoda; Insecta; Coleoptera; Scarabaeidae. The record is from RefSeq and is a predicted model, not a curated record.